Small nuclear RNA from Nomascus leucogenys (northern white-cheeked gibbon), 107 nucleotides. Lineage: Eukaryota; Metazoa; Chordata; Mammalia; Primates; Hylobatidae. The record is from Ensembl.
CUACUCACUUCAGCAGCAAAUAUACUAAAAUUGUGAUGAUACAGAGAAGAUUACCAUGGCCCCUACACAAAGGUGACACACAGAUUCAUGAAGCAUUCUAUAUUUUU